RNAcentral lists this ribosomal RNA (641 nucleotides) under Listeria monocytogenes. Its description in RNAcentral is "bacterial SSU rRNA". It matches the Rfam family "Bacterial small subunit ribosomal RNA", at positions 44 to 668 of the family's 1533-position model. Lineage: Bacteria; Bacillati; Bacillota; Bacilli; Caryophanales; Listeriaceae. The record is from RNAcentral.
GUGCUAAUACAUGCAAGUCGAACGAACGGAGGAAGAGCUUGCUCUUCCAAAGUUAGUGGCGGACGGGUGAGUAACACGUGGGCAACCUGCCUGUAAGUUGGGGAUAACUCCGGGAAACCGGGGCUAAUACCGAAUGAUARARUGUGGCGCAUGCCACGCUUUUGAAAGAUGGUUUCGGCUAUCGCUUACAGAUGGGCCCGCGGUGCAUUAGCUAGUUGGUAGGGUAAUGGCCUACCAAGGCAACGAUGCAUAGCCGACCUGAGAGGGUGAUCGGCCACACUGGGACUGAGACACGGCCCAGACUCCUACGGGAGGCAGCAGUAGGGAAUCUUCCGCAAUGGACGAAAGUCUGACGGAGCAACGCCGCGUGUAUGAAGAAGGUUUUCGGAUCGUAAAGUACUGUUGUUAGAGAAGAACAAGGAUAAGAGUAACUGCUUGUCCCUUGACGGUAUCUAACCAGAAAGCCACGGCUAACUACGUGCCAGCAGCCGCGGUAAUACGUAGGUGGCAAGCGUUGUCCGGAUUUAUUGGGCGUAAAGCGCGCGCAGGCGGUCUUUUAAGUCUGAUGUGAAAGCCCCCGGCUUAACCGGGGAGGGUCAUUGGAAACUGGAAGACUGGAGUGCAGAGAGGAGAGUGGAUUC